This 486-nucleotide ribosomal RNA is filed under the name uncultured Anaerolineaceae bacterium. Its description in RNAcentral is "bacterial SSU rRNA". It matches the Rfam family "Bacterial small subunit ribosomal RNA", at positions 8 to 523 of the family's 1533-position model. Lineage: Bacteria; Bacillati; Chloroflexota; Anaerolineae; Anaerolineales; Anaerolineaceae. The record is from RNAcentral.
AGAGUUUGAUCAUGGCUCAGGAUGAACGCUGGCGGCGUGCCUAAUACAUGCAAGUCGAACGAUCCGCAAGGAUAGUGGCGAACGGGUGAGUAACGCGUUGGUGACCUGCCCUGAAGUGGGGGAUAACGGAUCGAAAGGUCCGCUAAUACCGCAUAAGUUCUCGCUAGUUAGAGAGGCGAGAGGAAAGCCGAAAGGCGCUUUAGGAGGGGCCUGCGUCCCAUCAGCUAGUUGGUAAGGUAGUGGCUUACCAAGGCGAUGACGGGUAGGGGACCUGAGAGGGUGACCCCCCACAAUGGAACUGAAACACGGUCCAUACACCUACGGGUGGCAGCAGUAGGGAAUAUUGGUUAAUGGGCGAAAGCCUGACCCAGCAACGCCGCGUGAACGAUGAAGGCCUUCGGGUUGUAAAGUUCUUUUGACAGGGAUGAGGAAGGACAGUACCUGUCGAAUAAGUCUCGGCUAACUACGUGCCAGCCGCCGCGGUAA